GACGAACGCUGGCGGCGUGCUUAACACAUGCAAGUCGAACGGAAAGGCCCUGCUUUUGUGGGGUGCUCGAGUGGCGAACGGGUGAGUAACACGUGAGUAACCUGCCCUUGACUUUGGGAUAACUUCAGGAAACUGGUGCUAAUACCGGAUAGGAGCUCCUGCUGCAUGGUGGUGGUUGGACAGUUUCGGCGGUUGGGGAUGGACUCGCGGCUUAUCAGCUUGUUGGUGGGGUAGUGGCUUACCAAGGCUUUGACGGGUAGCCCGCCUGAGAGGGUGACCGGCGACAUUGGGACUGAGAUACGGCCCAGACUCCUACGGGAGGCAGAAGUGGGGAAUAUUGCACAAUGGGCGGAAGCGUGAUGCAGAAACGCCGCGUGCGGGAUGACGGCCUUCGGGUUGUAAACCGCUUUCGCCUGUGACGAAGCGUGAGUGACGGUAAUGGGUAAAGAAGCACCGGCUAACUACGUG
RNAcentral lists this ribosomal RNA (468 nucleotides) under uncultured bacterium. Its description in RNAcentral is "partial 16S ribosomal RNA". It matches the Rfam family "Bacterial small subunit ribosomal RNA", at positions 28 to 507 of the family's 1533-position model. The record is from RNAcentral.